Erinaceus europaeus (western European hedgehog) is the source of this 107-nucleotide small nuclear RNA. Lineage: Eukaryota; Metazoa; Chordata; Mammalia; Eulipotyphla; Erinaceidae. The record is from Ensembl.
GUGCUUGCUUAGGCAGCACAUAUACUAAAAUUGCAACCAUACAGAGAAGAUUGGCAUGGCCCCUGCACAAGGAUGGCAGGUAAAUUCAUGAAGAAUUUGUAAGAUUU